AAGAAAGAAAAAAGAACUAACAACCCCAUUGAAAUAUUUGUCCAUCUUUGUGCCUUUGUCUACUAAACUUUUGUUAAAAUCAAUUCACCAAUUCGUUCGAAAUUUUUACCACGAACUACGGGGUUUUGAUCCCUCAUUUUUAUGUUGGUAUGUAGGCAUAGACCGAAGGUCUUGUCAAACACAAAAAUAUAAUAAACGAA
This 200-nucleotide long non-coding RNA is filed under the name Lathyrus oleraceus (garden pea). RNAcentral describes it as "Pisum sativum (pea) long non-coding RNA (PSAT_LNC005776)". Lineage: Eukaryota; Viridiplantae; Streptophyta; Magnoliopsida; Fabales; Fabaceae. The record is from RNAcentral.